GCAUUCCCACAAUCCAACAAUUCUAAAUUUGCCUACCCAAACCUACAUUUGCCUAUUCAUUUCAACAUACCAUGAUUCUAUCGUGUUCCGACAAUAUUCAUGUUUAUUCCGAAUUCAACAAUAAUAAACCAAAAUUAAUUUAGAUUCGCCCAUUUUAUUAAUUUCUCAAUUCCAACCCCCCACCUAGCUUCGUUUCCAUCAAUUACACCAAACAUUACUCCAAUUCAUUCCACGUAUCACCGAAAUCACAUCGUCAAACACAUAAAACAUCAUAACAUCGACAAAAUCUACCAACCAUGAUCACACCACACAUAAUCACAACAAU
This 325-nucleotide long non-coding RNA is filed under the name Capsicum annuum. RNAcentral's name for it is "long non-coding RNA (CANN_LNC006061)". Lineage: Eukaryota; Viridiplantae; Streptophyta; Magnoliopsida; Solanales; Solanaceae. The record is from RNAcentral.